UACGUAGGGUGCAAGCGUUGUCCGGAAUUAUUGGGCGUAAAGAGCUCGUAGGCGGUUUGUUGCGUCGGCUGUGAAAUCCCGAGGCUCAACCUCGGGUCUGCAGUCGAUACGAGCAAACUAGAGUGUUGCAGGGGAGACUGGAAUUCCUGGUGUAGCGGUGAAAUGCGCAGAUAUCAGGAGGAACACCGGUGGCGAAGGCGGGUCUCUGGGCCGAUACUGACGCUGAGGAGCGAAAAGCGUGGGAGCGAACAGG
RNAcentral lists this ribosomal RNA (253 nucleotides) under uncultured bacterium. RNAcentral describes it as "partial 16S ribosomal RNA". It matches the Rfam family "Bacterial small subunit ribosomal RNA", at positions 524 to 776 of the family's 1533-position model. The record is from RNAcentral.